CCUCUCAAUAAGAUUUUCUUUGUCUUCUUUAAGGACAUACUGAAUUCAUUUAUACAGCAAAGGAUGAAGUAAAAUUGUUUUGCGACACCAACAAAUGGGAAAUAAACACAGAGUCUGACAACAACAUUGAUGUGAAUUGCACAGUGGAGUGUGUUCAUGGUGAAGCACUCAAACUUCAUAAUACCCAGAAUUCCUGCAAAAAUAAAGAUUCAGUCAAAGUUGGUGAAAAAUGUUCGCUAAUAGCGAGCAGUGGAUUUUAUCGAUGUGUUACUGCUCUGGAUUCUGGUUUCUUAUUUCCAUUCAAACCGUCUCCCAACACUGUCACAUCGUACAUAGUCGCCACUGCAAAUGAAGAAAUGACAAACAAGUCUGAGGAAAGAUCUUCAGUCGAGCUAACUGAAGGUGAAGAUGUACUUUUAAACUGCAGUGUCAUCUUUACAAAAGAAUAUGACAACAAGAACUUUGUAGUGUACUGGAUCAAGACCAUUGGAAAGAACAGUACCUGUGUGUAUUCUUAUGAUUUUGAUUUAUAUACUCGUAUAAGAUACAAUCCCCACUGCAAUGUGCAAGAAGAACUGCUUUACAGACUCUCAAACCAAACUGAAGGCAAAAUCACCCAUAACAUCAGGAUCAGUAACGUAACAGACUCAGAUGCUGGACAAUAUCUUUGUGCCUUACAAGUGCACACACAUAAUAAAACAAAAGGAAAGUGGAAGAUCAUAAAUAAUAUUACAGUCAGUGUACAGAAAGACAAAGGACAUGAAAUAGCUGGAAACAGCGCUGAGUCUCUGAUCCGCUUGUGUGUUACACUGCCAGUAAUACUGGGUAUUCCGGCAGCUCUUAUGGUGGUAUAUUUAUGGAAAAAGAUGAAAAUUUCACCAAGAUCUCAGGCUAUGGAACUGCAAACAAUCCAACAUUGAGAAGAAACUCCUGAUAUGAACUUUGAGGCAUGAGAGUAACACAGCACUUAGGAAGAGCUGACGUUUAAAACGUGUUAAAUAUGUGCUCUUUAUUAUGCUUUCUUUUACUUAAUGAAACUCUCCCAAUACUGUCCCAGCAUGUGUCUUUCUCAUUUCAAACCUACAAAAUUAGUCAAAAAAUUAAUCUGACUUUGGGUCAAAUUUAAUGGUUCUGUAUUUUCUUUCUAAGAAUAAAAAAGCAUUAGAAUGUU
Molecule: long non-coding RNA, 1171 nt
Organism: Ictalurus punctatus (channel catfish)
Lineage: Eukaryota; Metazoa; Chordata; Actinopteri; Siluriformes; Ictaluridae
Exons: 5
Source: RefSeq, a predicted model, not a curated record